GAAAACUCCGGUGGUAUGGGAUGGGCCCGCGUCUGAUUAGCUCGUUGGCGGGGUAACGGCCCACCAAGGCGACGAUCAGUAGCCGGCCUGAGAGGGCGGCCGGCCACAUUGGGACUGAGACACGGCCCAGACUCCUGCGGGAGGCAGCAGUGGGGAAUAUUGCACAAUGGGGGAAACCCUGAUGCAGCGACGCCGCGUGAGCGAUGAAGUAUCUCGGUAUGUAAAGCUCUAUCAGCAGGGAAGAAAGUGACAGUACCUGACUAAGAAGCCCCGGCUAACUACGUGCCAGCAGCCGCGGUAAUACGUAGGGGGCAAGCGUUAUCCGGAUUCACUGGGCGUAAAGGGAGCGCAGGCGGCACGGCAAGUCUGGUGUGAAAACCCGGGGCUCAACCCCGGGACUGCAUUGGAAACUGCCGGGCUGGAGUGUCGGAGGGGUAAGCGGAAUUCCUAGUGUAGCGGUGAAAUGCGUAGAUAUUAGGAGGAACACCAGUGGCGAAGGCGGCUUACUGGACGAUGACUGACGCUGAGGCUCGAAAGCGUGGGGAGCAAACAGGAUUAGAUACCCUGGUAGUCCACGCCGUAAAC
Molecule: ribosomal RNA, 585 nt
Filed under: uncultured bacterium
Lineage: Bacteria
Description: bacterial SSU rRNA
Rfam family: Bacterial small subunit ribosomal RNA
Source: RNAcentral